GAUGAAGAACGUAGCGAAAUGCGAUAAGUAAUGUGAAUUGCAGAAUUCAGUGAAUCAUCGAAUCUUGGAACGCACAUUGCGCCCGCCAGUAUUCUGGCGGGCAUGCCUGUUCGAGCGUCAUUUCAACCAUCAAGCCCCAGGCUUGUGUUGGGGACCUGCGGCUGCCGCAGGCCCUGAAAACCAGUGGCGGGCUCGCUGUCACACCGGGCGUAGUAGAUUUUAUCUCGCUCUGGGCGUGCUGCGGGUUCCGGCCGUUAAAAAACCCUUUUAACCCAAGGUUGACCUCGGAUCAGGUAGGAAUACCCGCUGAACUUAAGCAUAUCAAUAAGCGGAGGA
This 336-nucleotide unclassified non-coding RNA is filed under the name soil metagenome. RNAcentral's name for it is "partial contains 5.8S ribosomal RNA, internal transcribed spacer 2, and large subunit ribosomal RNA". The stretch from base 1 to 120 matches the Rfam family "5.8S ribosomal RNA", at positions 35 to 154 of the family's 154-position model. The record is from RNAcentral.